This 253-nucleotide ribosomal RNA is filed under the name uncultured bacterium. RNAcentral describes it as "partial 16S ribosomal RNA". It matches the Rfam family "Bacterial small subunit ribosomal RNA", at positions 524 to 776 of the family's 1533-position model. The record is from RNAcentral.
GACAGAGGGGGCAAGCGUUGUCCGGAGUUACUGGGCGUAAAGCGCGCGUAGGCGGUACGGUAAGUAAGGUGUGAAAGCCCCAGGCUUAACCUGGGGAGGUCAUCUUCGACUGCCGCACUCGAGUCGUGCAGAGGGUGGUGGAAUUGCCGGUGUAGUGGUGAAAUGCGUAGAGAUCGGCAGGAACACCAAGGGCGAAAGCAGCCACCUGGGCACGUACUGACGCUGAGGUGCGAAAGCGUGGGGAGCAAACAGG